CACGCUGUAAACGAUGAAUACUAGGUGUGGGAGGACUGACCCCUUCCGUGCCGCAGUUAACACAAUAAGUAUUCCACCUGGGGAGUACGAUCGCAAGAUUGAAACUCAAAGGAAUUGACGGGGGCCCGCACAAGCAGUGGAUUAUGUGGUUUAAUUCGACGCAACGCGAAGAACCUUACCGGGAUUUGACAUCCUACUAACGAAGUAGAGAUACAUUAGGUGCCCUUCGGGGAAAGUAGAGACAGGUGG
Molecule: ribosomal RNA, 249 nt
Filed under: uncultured bacterium
Lineage: Bacteria
Description: partial 16S ribosomal RNA
Rfam family: Bacterial small subunit ribosomal RNA
Source: RNAcentral